UACGUAGGGGCGAGCGUUGUCCGGAAUUAUUGGGCGUAAAGGGCGCGUAGGCGGCUUUACGAGUCAGUAGUGGAAGUCCCAUUUUCAAGGUGGGGAGGGCUAUUGAAACUGUAGGGCUUGAGUGCAGGAGAGGUUAUCGGAAUUCCCGGUGUAGCGGUGAAAUGCGUAGAGAUCGGGAGGAACACCAGUGGCGAAGGCGGGUGACUGGACUGUAACUGACGCUGAGGCGCGAAAGUGUGGGGAGCAAACAGGAUUAGAUACCCGGGUAGUCCCUGAGCGGGCUGG
RNAcentral lists this ribosomal RNA (285 nucleotides) under uncultured prokaryote. RNAcentral describes it as "partial 16S ribosomal RNA". It matches the Rfam family "Bacterial small subunit ribosomal RNA", at positions 524 to 812 of the family's 1533-position model. The record is from RNAcentral.